UUCGUAGGUGAACCUGCGGCUGGGUUGUAGCUGGCCUUCCGAGGCAUGUGCACGCCCUGCUCAUCCACUCUACACCUGUGCACUUACUGUGGGCUUCAGACGUCGUGAAGCGGGCUCUUUACUGAGCCUGUAGAGCGGUGUCUGUGCCUGCGUUUAUCACAAACCCCAUAAAGUAUUAGAAUGUGUAUUGCGAUGUAACGCAUCUAUAUACAACUUUCAGCAACGGAUCUCUUGGCUCUCGCAUCGAUGAAGAACGCAGCGAAAUGCGAUAAGUAAUGUGAAUUGCAGAAUUCAGUGAAUCAUCGAAUCUUUGAACGCACCUUGCGCUCCUUGGUAUUCCGAGGAGCAUGCCUGUUUGAGUGUCAUGAAAUCUUCAACUUACAGACCUUUGCGGGUUUGUAGGCUUGGACUUGGAGGCUUGUCGGCCGUGUUUCGGCCGGCUCCUCUUAAAUGCAUUAGCUUGAAUCCUUGCGGAUCGGCUCUCGGUGUGAUAAUGUCUACGCCGCGACCGUGAAGCGUUUUGGCGAGCUUCUAACCGUCCUCGUUUGGACAGCUUUAUGACCUCUGACCUCAAAUCAGGUAGGACUACCCGCUGAACUUAAGCAUAUCAA
Molecule: ribosomal RNA, 611 nt
Filed under: Ganoderma stipitatum
Lineage: Eukaryota; Fungi; Basidiomycota; Agaricomycetes; Polyporales; Polyporaceae
Description: eukaryotic LSU rRNA
Rfam family: 5.8S ribosomal RNA (bases 212-365)
Source: RNAcentral